Molecule: ribosomal RNA, 174 nt
Filed under: uncultured bacterium
Lineage: Bacteria
Description: partial 16S ribosomal RNA
Rfam family: Bacterial small subunit ribosomal RNA
Source: RNAcentral
CCUACGGGAGGCAGCAGUGGGGAAUAUUGCACAAUGGACGAAAGUCUGAUGCAGCAACGCCGCGUGAGGGAUGAAGGCCUUCGGGUUGUAAACCUCUUUUAGCAGGGAAGAAGCGAAAGUGACGGUACCUGCAGAAAAAGCACCGGCUAACUACGUGCCAGCAGCCGCGGUAAU